This 253-nucleotide ribosomal RNA is filed under the name uncultured bacterium. RNAcentral's name for it is "partial 16S ribosomal RNA". It matches the Rfam family "Bacterial small subunit ribosomal RNA", at positions 524 to 776 of the family's 1533-position model. The record is from RNAcentral.
UACGUAGGGCGCAAGCGUUGUCCGGAAUUAUUGGGCGUAAAGAGCUCGUAGGCGGUCUGUCGCGUCGGAUGUGAAAGCCCGGGGCUUAACCCCGGGUCUGCAUUCGAUACGGGCAGACUAGAGUGUGGUAGGGGAGAUCGGAAUUCCUGGUGUAGCGGUGAAAUGCGCAGAUAUCAGGAGGAACACCAGCGGCGAAGGCGGCGCUCUGGGCCGGAACUGACGCUGAGGAGCGAAAGCGUGGGGAGCAAACAGG